RNAcentral lists this unclassified non-coding RNA (240 nucleotides) under soil metagenome. RNAcentral describes it as "partial contains 5.8S ribosomal RNA, internal transcribed spacer 2, and large subunit ribosomal RNA". The record is from RNAcentral.
AACCUAGCACACCUGCGGUGUGUACCUGCGGAGGGAUCAUUACAUGGCGGAGGAGGUGGGCACCUGGCCAAAAAAAACUCCAGGUUGUCAUGCCUUCACGCUCUUCCACCCUUGUCUAUUUGUACCUUUUGUCGUUCCCUCGGCGGGUUUCGACCCGCCGGCGGUAACCAUUGAAAACCCUUUUUGCAGUUUAGCAUCCAAUUCUUCUGAUCAAAUAUCAAAUCGUUACAACUUUCAACA